UCAAAGAUUAAGCCAUGCAUGUGUAAGUAUAAACAAAUUAUAUUGUGAAACUGCGAAUGGCUCAUUAAAUCAGUUAUAAUUUAUUUGAUAAUGACAUUUACUAUAUGGAUAGCCGUAGUAAUUCUAGAGCUAAUACAUGGGUAUAAGUCAAACUAGCAAUGGAAUGACUGUAUUUAUUAGAUCGAAAACCAAACCAUUAGGAAGUUUACUUUUUAAUGGAUGUGGUGAAUCAUAAUAAGUUUGUCGAAUCGUGAAUUUAUUUGCGAUGUGUCAUUGAAAUUUCUGCCCUAUCAACUUUUGGCGGUAGGAUAGAGGCCUACGGUGGUUUUGACGGGUAACGGGGAAUUAGGGUUCGAUUCCGGAGAGGGAGCCUGAGAAACGGCUACCACUUCUAAGGAAGGCAGCAGGCGCGCAAAUUACCCAAUCCCAAUGAUAUUGGGGAGGUAGUGACAAAAAAUACUGAUUCGUUGUACAAAAGUGCGAUGAAAUUGGAAUGGAAUGGAUAUAACACGUCCAAAGAGAAACAAAUAGAGGGCAAGUCUGGUGCCAGCAGCCGCGGUAAUUCCAGCUCUAAUAGUGUAUACUAAAAUUGCUGCAGUUAAAAAGCUCGUAGUUGGAUUUGUGAUACUAGAUAAUUCUAUUAGUUUUAGUUCGGUUGAUCUAAAAAAUCGAGCUUACAUGGCUAGUAGAUAUGUAGAAUCAAAUGAAUUUUUCGAAGGGGUGUGCUCCACUUAAUUGUGGUUGCAUGUCUACUCGGAGUAUUUACUUUGAAGAAAAUGGAGUGUUCAAAGCAGGUAAAUAAAAUAUGCAACUGAACAGAUUAGCAUGGAAUAAUAAAAUAGGACACGAAGGUUGUUUUCCUUUGGGAAAUGACCAUCCUUUGUUUUGUAAAAGGAGCAAGGGAUCACUAUUUUGUUGGUUUUGUGGUGUAUGUGUAAUGAUUAAUAGGGACAGUUGGGGACAUUGGUAUUGCAUCGUCAGAGGUGAAAUUCUUGGAUUGAUGCAAGACGAACGAGUGCGAAAGCAUUUGUCAAGGAUGUUUUCAUUAAUCAAGAACGAAAGUUAGGGGAUCGAAGGCGAUCAGAAACCGCCCUAGUCUUAACUAUAAACUAUGCCAACUAGGUAUUGUCGGGUAUAUGGGAUGUCUUAGGAUGUCUCUGUUAUGCUAGAUUUACGUUUGGGUAUUACCCUGGCGUAAAUUGCCUCGCCAGCACCUGUGGAGAAAUCACAAGUCUUUGGGUUCUGGGGGGAGUAUGGUCACAAGGCUGAAACUUAAAGAAAUUGACGGAAGGGCACCACCAGGUGUGGAGCCUGCGGCUUAAUUUGACUCAACACGGGGAAACUUACCAGGUCCAGACAGCGGAAGGAUUGACAGAUUGAUAGUUUUUUCUUGAUUCGGUGGGUGGUGGUGCAUGGUCGUUCUUAGUUGGUGGAGCGAUUUGUCUGCUUAAUUGCGAUAACGAACGAGACCUCAACCUGCUAACUAAGCUUUUCGGUAGUUUUAUGCUACUGGUUUUUUAUGAAGCUGCUUAGAGGGACAACCACUUUUUAAGUGGGGGAAGCAUGAGGCAAUAACAGGUCUGUGAUGCCCUUAGAUGUCCUGGGCCGCACGCGCGCUACACUGAUUAAAUCAACAAGUUUGGAUACAAGAAUUCUUUCGGGAAUUCUUUUCUCCUUAUCCGAAAGGAUUGGGUAAUCUUUUGAAUUUUAAUCGUGCUGGGGAUUGAUUUUUGUAAUUAUGGAUCAUGAACUAGGAAUACCUAGUAAGUGCAAUUCAUCAGAUUGCGCUGAUUACGUCCCUGCCCUUUGUACACACCGCCCGUCGCUCCUACCGAUUGAAUGAUCAGAUGAAAUUCUCGGAUUGCGUCAAGGGGAGUCAAAUCUCUUUGAAUACAAAAAGAGAAGUAAAUCUUAUUAUUUAGA
RNAcentral lists this ribosomal RNA (1923 nucleotides) under Polymastigidae sp. NcTmA. RNAcentral's name for it is "SSU rRNA". It matches the Rfam family "Eukaryotic small subunit ribosomal RNA". The record is from RNAcentral. Lineage: Eukaryota; Preaxostyla; Oxymonadida; Polymastigidae.